AUUGAACGCUGGCGGCAGGCCUAACACAUGCAAGUCGAGCGGAUGAAGGGAGCUUGCUCCUGGAUUCAGCGGCGGACGGGUGAGUAAUGCCUAGGAAUCUGCCUGGUAGUGGGGGAUAACGUCCGGAAACGGGCGCUAAUACCGCAUACGUCCUGAGGGAGAAAGUGGGGGAUCUUCGGACCUCACGCUAUCAGAUGAGCCUAGGUCGGAUUAGCUAGUUGGUGGGGUAAAGGCCUACCAAGGCGACGAUCCGUAACUGGUCUGAGAGGAUGAUCAGUCACACUGGAACUGAGACACGGUCCAGACUCCUACGGGAGGCAGCAGUGGGGAAUAUUGGACAAUGGGCAAAAGCCUGAUCCAGCCAUGCCGCGUGUGUGAAGAAGGUCUUCGGAUUGUAAAGCACUUUAAGUUGGGAGGAAGGGCGGUAAGUUAAUACCUUGCUGUUUUGACGUUACCAACAGAAUAAGCACCGGCUAACUUCGUG
RNAcentral lists this ribosomal RNA (484 nucleotides) under uncultured bacterium. RNAcentral's name for it is "partial 16S ribosomal RNA". It matches the Rfam family "Bacterial small subunit ribosomal RNA", at positions 30 to 507 of the family's 1533-position model. The record is from RNAcentral.